This 317-nucleotide long non-coding RNA is filed under the name Dromaius novaehollandiae (emu). RNAcentral's name for it is "lncRNA (ENSDNVG00000015701.1)". Lineage: Eukaryota; Metazoa; Chordata; Aves; Casuariiformes; Dromaiidae. The record is from RNAcentral.
AGAGAAUGACCUAUUUCUUCUUUGUAAUAAGUGGCCAUAUUUUGUUUAUCCAUAGAUAAACCAGCACUGUAGCAUACUUCUGGUUUUUGUGACCUCUCCAAAACCUUUGCGCAGGCAUUUCCUGAUUCCUGCAUUCUGCAGAUUUAGAACCAAAAGAGCCUGAAGAGCAGUCAAACUAUCCAGGUACUGUUACUACUAAGAGUCUUCUAAAAGGACUGUCUUGUCCGAGGAGUUGCACAUCAUGAGUGCUGGUUUUACACCCUCACUGCAGUGGAUAUCCCAGAAGGACUGGGGGCAGAGCUAAAUGGAACUGAGGG